Molecule: ribosomal RNA, 434 nt
Filed under: uncultured Lachnospiraceae bacterium
Lineage: Bacteria; Bacillati; Bacillota; Clostridia; Lachnospirales; Lachnospiraceae
Description: partial 16S ribosomal RNA
Rfam family: Bacterial small subunit ribosomal RNA
Source: RNAcentral
ACGGAAGGCAGCAGUGGGGGAUAUUGGACAAUGGGGGCAACCCUGAUCCAGCGACGCCGCGUGAGUGAAGAAGUAAUUCGUUAUGUAAAGCUCUAUCAGCAGGGACGAUAAUGACGGUACCUGACUAAGAAGCUCCGGCUAAAUACGUGCCAGCGGCCGCGGUAAUACGUAUGGAGCAAGCGUUAUCCGGAUUUACUGGGUGUAAAGGGAGCGUAGGUGGUUUUGUAAGUCAGAAGUGAAAUGCCGGGGCUCAACCCCGGAGCUGCUUUUGAAACUGCGAAACUAGAGUGCAGGAGAGGUAAGUGGAAUUCCUAGUGUAGCGGUGAAAUGCGUAGAUAUUAGGAGGAACACCAGUGGCGAAGGCGGCUUACUGGACUGUAACUGACACUGAGGCUCGAAAGCGUGGGGAGCAAACAGGAUUAGAUACCCUGGUA